Gossypium arboreum is the source of this 750-nucleotide long non-coding RNA. RefSeq lists it as uncharacterized. NCBI's taxonomy places the organism in Eukaryota, Viridiplantae, Streptophyta, Magnoliopsida, Malvales, Malvaceae. The transcript is spliced from 2 exons. The record is from RefSeq and is a predicted model, not a curated record.
CACAGGCACAAAACAAUGUUGUUUUCCCUUUGCUAUUUAAAGCAAAAUUUUUGUUUUAAAAUCAUUUUAACCCUUAGUGUAAAAAAACUUUUGAAGCUUCAAAACUCUCCCAUUCCUCCUUAGAUACCAGAACAUUCGGCCAUUUUUAAAACAAAACCAUAAAUCGUUUUUUAAAAUCCUCCCAAGCGGACCUUGACGGUGCUGAAAUAUGUUGCCAUCUCCGCCAUGGCUUCAAACGGUCCCUAGGGAUCCGUCUGCCAUUGGGUCGGAGGAGCCAAACACCGAUUAGAUCAAUACCAAAUGAUAGCUGAAAAAAAAUGGAACAAAAAAAACUUCUUUGCUGUACUGUCCCUCCUUUUGCGUUUGCUUACAAGUACGUGUGCGGGCAUACCACUGACGUGGCGUGGUGGAGCGGCGCACGACUCGGAGAGGCCCGCGACGUGCGGCGCCUGGAGGCUAAUCUUGGCUACGGCGCACUGGAACCCUAGGGUUCCUGAGAAUCAUUUGAUCUCUGGGCCAUUUGGGCCGAUACAAUUUUGGGUCUAAUGUUUUAGGUUUAUUUGAACUUGAUUGGGUUUGAGGAUUAGUAUUUGAGUUUUAAUUGGUUGUAAAUGAGCUUUGUAUUUUGGACUGUUGUUUAUUGGGCCCCGGGUUAAAAUUGGGCCCUACAAGCAGUAUAUUGAAUAAAUAAAAGCAUAAGAUACCACAGCCCCCUCAAAACCUUUAUUGGUUGGACUGGCUGAAACUAAA